Molecule: non-coding RNA, 303 nt
Organism: Cinara cedri
Lineage: Eukaryota; Metazoa; Arthropoda; Insecta; Hemiptera; Aphididae
Source: the annotation of a GenBank genome assembly
AGCUAACAUGAUGACACAGUUAAGAACACUUAACGUUAUGAAACACUAUCGGUAAGCAACAGUGAGCCUUCUCGUCGAUACAGCCGAAUGCCAAAAUCAAUAAUAUUUUGUUUUUUUGUAAAAUAAUUAAAAUGACCGUGCACUGAAGUGAAAAUAUUUGACUAUAUUGUGGAGUACUAUCAACAAAAUGACGAAAUUUUAGAAUGGAAAUGGCGAGGGCGAGCGUUGAAUGUCUAAGCCCGCAAGAGGAACAUCCUUGACGCUGACGCAAUGCACAAUGAUGAAUUAUACGGAAUGUCAGUU